GGAGAGGUACCGAAGUGGUUUAACGGGGCCGACUCGAAAUCGGUUGAGAGUCCACAAGAUUCUCCGUGGGUUCGAAUCCCACUCUCUCCG
RNAcentral lists this transfer RNA (90 nucleotides) under Coxiellaceae bacterium. RNAcentral's name for it is "tRNA-Ser". It matches the Rfam family "tRNA". Rfam says of the family: Transfer RNA (tRNA) molecules are approximately 80 nucleotides in length. Lineage: Bacteria; Pseudomonadati; Pseudomonadota; Gammaproteobacteria; Legionellales; Coxiellaceae. The record is from RNAcentral.